RNAcentral lists this ribosomal RNA (425 nucleotides) under uncultured bacterium. Its description in RNAcentral is "partial 16S ribosomal RNA". It matches the Rfam family "Bacterial small subunit ribosomal RNA", at positions 354 to 796 of the family's 1533-position model. The record is from RNAcentral.
GUGGGGAAUCUUGCGCAAUGGGCGAAAGCCUGACGCAGCCAUGCCGCGUGAAUGAUGAAGGUCUUAGGAUUGUAAAAUUCUUUCACCGGGGACGAUAAUGACGGUACCCGGAGAAGAAGCCCCGGCUAACUUCGUGCCAGCAGCCGCGGUAAUACGAAGGGGGCUAGCGUUGCUCGGAAUUACUGGGCGUAAAGGGCGCGUAGGCGGACAGUUUAGUCAGAGGUGAAAGCCCAGGGCUCAACCUUGGAAUUGCCUUUGAUACUGGCUGUCUUGAGUACAGGAGAGGUGAGUGGAACUCCGAGUGUAGAGGUGAAAUUCGUAGAUAUUCGGAAGAACACCAGUGGCGAAGGCGACUCACUGGCCCGUUACUGACGCUGAGGCGCGAAAGCGUGGGGAGCAAACAGGAUUAGAUACCCUGGUAGUCC